RNAcentral lists this ribosomal RNA (253 nucleotides) under uncultured bacterium. RNAcentral describes it as "partial 16S ribosomal RNA". It matches the Rfam family "Bacterial small subunit ribosomal RNA", at positions 524 to 776 of the family's 1533-position model. The record is from RNAcentral.
UACGGAGGGUGCGAGCGUUGUCCGGAAUUACUGGGCGUAAAGCGUGCGCAGGCGGUUUUGUAAGCCAGAUGUGAAAUCCCCGGGCUCAACCUGGGAAUGGCAUUUGGGACUGCAAGGCUUGAGUGCGGCAGAGGAGACUGGAAUUCAUGGUGUAGCAGUGAAAUGCGUAGAGAUCAUGAGGAAGACCAGUGGCGAAGGCGGGUCUCUGGACAGUUCCUGACACUGAGGCACGAAGGCCAGGGGAGCAAACAGG